AGCGAACGCUGGCGGCAGGCCUAACACAUGCAAGUCGAACGGAUCCUUCGGGAUUAGUGGCGGACGGGUGAGUAACACGUGGGAACGUGCCCUUUGGUUCGGAACAACUCAGGGAAACUUGAGCUAAUACCGGAUGUGCCCUUCGGGGGAAAGAUUUAUCGCCAUUGGAGCGGCCCGCGUCUGAUUAGCUAGUUGGUGAGGUAAAGGCUCACCAAGGCGACGAUCAGUAGCUGGUCUGAGAGGCUGAUCAGCCACAUUGGGACUGAGACACGGCCCAAACGCCUACGGGAGGCAGCAGUGGGGAAUCUUGCGCAAUGGGCGAAAGCCUGACGCAGCCAUGCCGCGUGAAUGAUGAAGGUCUUAGGAUUGUAAAGUUCUUUCACCGGGGACGAUAACGACGGUACCCGGAGAAGAGGCCCCGGCUAACUUCGUGCCAGCCGCCGCAGUAA
This 449-nucleotide ribosomal RNA is filed under the name uncultured bacterium. RNAcentral describes it as "partial 16S ribosomal RNA". It matches the Rfam family "Bacterial small subunit ribosomal RNA", at positions 29 to 523 of the family's 1533-position model. The record is from RNAcentral.